CCGGCCAGUCUGCUUCUUAUUUUUCCUGGGAAAUCAGCUCCAGGGGUCUAUCCAAUAAGACCUUCAUGUUUGCUGAACUUUUUGUUGAUCUAAAACAGACAUCAGCUGUUGGAAAGACACUGCUACUUUAAGAUGUUGGCCUGGGCAGAUAUUCCAGCAGUUUUAUUUUCCUCAGGAUUGUCAUGGGGAGAGGAGAACAAACUGUCUCAGCUACAGUGAAGCCGGGUCAUUUAGUCCUCUCAUUGCCUUAUUUUUAUAUGCAACAGCGCCCAGCUCAGGGCCUUAUGAGGCAGAAGGUGAAACUGACUCUGGAGGCGGGGACUCGGGUACCGGACCAGAUUGAGAACUAGCUAAACAGGGUCGGGCAGAGGCGGCUUUCCAUAAGACAGGGCCACCACGGCACCAUGUCAGUUUACCAUCGCCAUGGCAAUACCCGGAAGUUACCACCCCUUUCCAUGGCAAUGACCUGGAAGUUACCACCCACCUAGACAUUUCUGCAUAAACUGCCUCUUAAUUUGCAUAUAAUUAAAGACCAACUCCAUCAGAUGUUCCGGAGACUGAGGAAUCAAAGCCUUAGAAGACCAGGGUUAGGAAAUUAUACAGCAACAGGACUAACAGGAGAACAGGACACUCUCCAAACUCUCCCUCCAGUCUAAGAUGAUGCCAGCUCCAGGAAGUUGGGGAUUGUCUUCCUCACUCCUGUAUUCCCGGCUCCUAGAACAGUGACUGUCACCCAGCAGCUGUUGAGCUAAUGGCUAUUGAGUGGACAACCACUCGAGCAACAAUGCAGUCAGCUUCGUGGACUUUGUUUUACUGAGGGGCAUCUGGAGAGUUGGGACCAGAGGUGAAUUGCUCAAGAGAAGAGGGAAGCAGUGAGGACACAGCUGUCCUCCUCCAUCUAUCCCCAGAGCCUAUAAGGAGGAGGCGCAGAGGACACACCAUGUGAGGACACAGCAAGAAGGCAGCUGUUUGUAAGCCAGGAACAGAGCCCUCACCAGAAACUGACUU
RNAcentral lists this long non-coding RNA (1008 nucleotides) under Homo sapiens (human). Its description in RNAcentral is "HSALNT0346409". Lineage: Eukaryota; Metazoa; Chordata; Mammalia; Primates; Hominidae. The record is from RNAcentral.